RNAcentral lists this long non-coding RNA (205 nucleotides) under Elaeis guineensis (African oil palm). RNAcentral's name for it is "long non-coding RNA (EGUI_LNC022060)". Lineage: Eukaryota; Viridiplantae; Streptophyta; Magnoliopsida; Arecales; Arecaceae. The record is from RNAcentral.
UCGCCCUCAAGUCCACUACUCAACUCAAUGAGGAAUCUGAAGAAACAGAAAAUGAAGAACAAGAUGAAGAAAUGACUUUCAUCACUAGAAAGUUUAAAAUAUUUUUGAAAAAAAAUAAAAUAAAAUAAGGAAGAGGCCACCUACAAAAGAAGAGCAUAGCAAGGAGAAGGAUAAGGAGCAACCCCUUAUUUGUUAUGAUGUAAGA